This 362-nucleotide ribosomal RNA is filed under the name uncultured Porphyromonadaceae bacterium. RNAcentral's name for it is "bacterial SSU rRNA". It matches the Rfam family "Bacterial small subunit ribosomal RNA", at positions 355 to 714 of the family's 1533-position model. The record is from RNAcentral. Lineage: Bacteria; Pseudomonadati; Bacteroidota; Bacteroidia; Bacteroidales; Porphyromonadaceae.
UGAGGAAUAUUGGUCAAUGGGCGAGAGCCUGAACCAGCCAAGUCGCGUGAAGGAUGAAGGUUCUAUGGAUUGUAAACUUCUUUUAUUCGAGGGUAAAGUGAGGUAUGUAUACCUUAUUGCAAGUAUCGAAUGAAUAAGCAUCGGCUAACUCCGUGCCAGCAGCCGCGGUAAUACGUAGGUGGCAAGCGUUGUCCGGAAUUACUGGGUGUAAAGGGAGCGCAGGCGGGAAAUCAAGUUGGAUGUGAAAUGUCGGGGCUUAACCCCGGAACUGCAUCCAAAACUGAUAUUCUUGAGUGAAGUAGAGGUAGGCGGAAUUCCGAGUGUAGCGGUGAAAUGCGUAGAUAUUCGGAGGAACACCAGUG